CGUUCUAUGGCCGAAUUGGUAAAGGCAUCGCCGAUCACAGGCAAGGUUGCGGGUUCGAGUCCCGCUGGAACGA
Molecule: transfer RNA, 73 nt
Filed under: Operophtera brumata (winter moth)
Lineage: Eukaryota; Metazoa; Arthropoda; Insecta; Lepidoptera; Geometridae
Rfam family: tRNA
About the family: Transfer RNA (tRNA) molecules are approximately 80 nucleotides in length. Their secondary structure includes four short double-helical elements and three loops (D, anti-codon, and T loops).
Source: Rfam by way of RNAcentral